This 406-nucleotide ribosomal RNA is filed under the name uncultured bacterium. Its description in RNAcentral is "partial 16S ribosomal RNA". It matches the Rfam family "Bacterial small subunit ribosomal RNA", at positions 30 to 526 of the family's 1533-position model. The record is from RNAcentral.
AUUGAACGCUGGCGGCAGGCCUAACACAUGCAAGUCGAGCGAGCGGCGGACGGGUGAGUAAUUUAUUGGGAUCUGCCUGAUGUAGGGGUAUAACUACUGUAAACGGUAGCUAAUACCGCAUACCAUCAGAUGAACCCAUAGGGGAUUAGCUUGUAGGUAAGGUAACGGCUUACCUAGGCGACGAUGCCUACCUGGUCUGAGAGGAUGAUCAGCCACACUGGGACUGAGACACGGCCCAGACUCCUACGGGAGGCAGCAGUGGGGAAUAUUGCGCAAUGGGCGAAAGCCUGAUGGAGCAAUGCCGCGUGAAUGAAGAAGGCUUUCGGGUUGUAAAGCACUGUUAGUAGGGAAGCGGUACCGACAGAAGAAGCAACGGCUAACUACGUGCCAGCAGCCGCGGUAAUAC